AGUUUGAUCAUGGCUCAGAUUGAACGCUGGCGGCAUGCCUUACACAUGCAAGUCGAACGGCAGCACGGGGGCAACCCUGGUGGCGAGUGGCGAACGGGUGAGUAACAUAUCGGAACAUACCCUAGAGUGGGGGAUAACGUAGCGAAAGUUACGCUAAUACCGCAUACGAUCUAAGGAUGAAAGUGGGGGAUCUUCGGACCUCAUGCUCAUGGAGUGGCCGAUAUCUGAUUAGCUAGUUGGUGAGGUAAAGGCUCACCAAGGCGACGAUCAGUAGCUGGUUUGAGAGAACGACCAGCCACACUGGAACUGAGACACGGUCCAGACUCCUACGGGAGGCAGCAGUGGGGGAAUUUUGGACAAUGGGGGCAACCCUGAUCCAGCAAUGCCGCGUGAGUGAAGAAGGCCUUCGGGUUGUAAAGCUCUUUUGUCAGGGAAGAAACGGUGAGUUCUAAUACAGCUUGCUAAUGACGGUACCUGAAGAAUAAGCACCGGCUAACUACGUG
RNAcentral lists this ribosomal RNA (503 nucleotides) under uncultured bacterium. Its description in RNAcentral is "bacterial SSU rRNA". It matches the Rfam family "Bacterial small subunit ribosomal RNA", at positions 10 to 507 of the family's 1533-position model. The record is from RNAcentral.